Molecule: ribosomal RNA, 1271 nt
Filed under: uncultured bacterium
Lineage: Bacteria
Description: bacterial SSU rRNA
Rfam family: Bacterial small subunit ribosomal RNA
Source: RNAcentral
AAUUCGCCCUUAGAGUUUGAUCCUGGCUCAGGACGAACGCUGGCGGCGUGCCUAACACAUGCAAGUCGAACGGAGUCAGCCCUUCGGGACUGACUUAGUGGCGAACGGGUGAGUAACGCGUGAGUAACCUGCCUUUCAGUGGGGGACAACAGUUGGAAACGACUGCUAAUACCGCAUAAUGUAUUUCUUGGGCAUCCUUGAAAUACCAAAGCUUAAUGUGCUGAAAGAUGGACUCGCGUCUGAUUAGCUAGUUGGCGGGGUAACGGCCCACCAAGGCGACGAUCAGUAGCCGGACUGAGAGGUUGAACGGCCACAUUGGGACUGAGAUACGGCCCAGACUCCUACGGGAGGCAGCAGUGGGGAAUAUUGGGCAAUGGGCGCAAGCCUGACCCAGCAACGCCGCGUGAAGGAAGAAGGCUUUCGGGUUGUAAACUUCUUUUACCAGGGACGAAGGACGUGACGGUACCUGGAGAAAAAGCCACGGCUAACUACGUGCCAGCAGCCGCGGUAAUACGCAGGUGGCAAGCGUUGUCCGGAUUUACUGGGUGUAAAGGGCGUGUAGGCGGAGCUGCAAGUCAGAUGUGAAAUCCCGGGGCUCAACCCCGGAACUGCAUUUGAAACUGUAGCCCUUGAGUAUCGGAGAGGCAAGCGGAAUUCCUAGUGUAGCGGUGAAAUGCGUAGAUAUUAGGAGGAACACCAGUGGCGAAGGCGACUUACUGGGCCGUAACUGACGCUGAGGCGCGAAAGCGUGCGGAGCGAACAGGAUUAGAUACCCUGGUAGUCCACGCCGUAGACGAUGAAUACUAGAUGUUGGGGACUAACGGUCUCAGUGUCGCAGGCAAACGCAAUAAGUUAUCCACCCUGGGGAGUACGAUCCGCAGGUUUGAAACUCAAAAGAGAUUGACGGGGGCCCCGCACCAGGGGAGGAGCCUGUGGUUUAAUUCGAUGGAUCGGCGAGGAACCUUACCUAGACUCAAAUGUUGAGCGACCGACCCAGAAAUGGGUCUUUCUUUCGGGACGCUAAGCAAGGUGCUGCAUGGUUGUCGUCAGCUCGUGCCGUGAGGUGUCAGGUUAAGUCCUAUAACGAGCGCAACCCCUACGUCCAGUUGCCAGCGGGUAGAGCCGGGGACUCUGGACGGACUGCCGGCGCAAGCCGAGAGGAAGGCGGGGAUGACGUCAAAUCAGCACGGCCCUUACGUCUGGGGCGACACACGUGCUACAAUGGCCGGUACAGAGGGCAGCCACGCCGCGAGGCGGAGCGAAUCUCGAAA